Non-coding RNA from Schistosoma curassoni, 45 nucleotides. Lineage: Eukaryota; Metazoa; Platyhelminthes; Trematoda; Strigeidida; Schistosomatidae. The record is from Rfam.
AUCUAGCUGACAAGUUCCAAAUAGGACGAAACGCAUAUCCUGUAU